UUCCUGAAUUAUCCUCAUUUUGGCGCCUUAAAUUAAAUUAAAGAAGGUUGUAUUGUUUAUGCUAUUCUAACGAUCCAUUGGAAUUUAGAAUUUUCUAAUUUCUUAGAAAGGGACACGACCUAUACGAAUACAUAGUGUAUAAGGAUGUUUCUCUAUCUCUCUCUCUCUCUCUCUCUCUCUCUCUCUCUCUCUCUCUCUCUCUCUCUCUCUCUCUCUCUCUUUCUCUCUUUCUCUCUUUCUCUUUCUCUCUCUCUCUCUCUCUCUCUCUCCCUCUCUCCCUCUCACUGUACUCUCGCAGCGAAGAACGAGUUCUUCGUUCGUGACGAUCCAAUCUAUUUCUGUCCGAGGAUGGUCGUGAUUAAUAUUUCGGGUAGUUCUUAUUGCCAAGUCGAAGUAAAGUCUGGCCGUGUAGUUUAAAAAUAGCUGUGGAGACGCGUGUCGUGUCCCCGUCGGGGAAAUUGAGUUUCUUUUCUUUCUCAUUUUCUCGCUGUAUUUGUCUCCUACACCGUUCCUUUCUCGCUUCCCAUCAUCGUGAAUGAUCUUUGAUGAUAUGAUAGUAACGAAGUUUAGACGGGGAGAUAUGUGACUAUUUCUCUUUUUUUUUAAAUUCUGAAUAGUUAUCGUUAAAUGAUGAAAAUAGAAGAACAACGCGAUUCGAAUAAUAUUACCAUUCCAAUAAAGACUUACCGGCAUAAGGACCCGAAGGUAAAGCGUUAUCUUUACCACUUUUUCCAUCUUUACUGCUACUCCCUGAAACAAUGAAAAGAAAAUUGCAUAUUAUAUACAAAUAGAUGCUUGAUAUAAUAUCAUACGGACGUAUAGAAUAGCAUACUACUACGUUAUGGAAUAGAAAGUACUAAUAUACAUAUACUUUUCAUAAAUAUAUAGUUUUACCUUCGAAAAUCAAACUACGUACCUAAUAUGAACCGAGUUGAAUCGGUGUCUAAUAGUAAGAGAUUAGCAAAGUGGACGCGUCGUUCGAUAUUCUGCUAAUAGACAAAGUAGCUUGUUACUUGAUAUUUAAAGGAGAUUUUUGUUCGAAAGGUGAAGAUUCCGACUGGAGAAAAUUCCUCGAAAAGCACGUAAAUUGAUAUACAUUAUAUAGCUAUAUGCUCUAUAUACUUAAUGAGUUACGAGUUAAAAGUUACUUUUUAUUUUCCAUGAGCAAUAAAGAGUAAUUUCUUUCCAUAAGGAACAAAGAAUUUUUGUUCGAAAAAAUGUUUUCAUUUUCUUGGAAACAGAUGUGUACGAGGAUAUAUAUCAAUAGUAGGAUAUGUAGAUAUAUAUCGGUAACGUCCACGCUUGAAAAAACUAUAAGAGUAGAAACUGGAAGGUAGAAAUAGAGAGUGCUUCAAAGAAAUAGGGACAUGGAGGCAAACUAGUCGUAAAGAGAACAACCGUUUGCAGAAAAGCUAAGUAAGUUGCACCAAGUUCAGCUUCGUGGGCUAUAUUUCAUAGUCAUCUAAGUCUUUGAACUGAUCUUUGUUAUCUAUCUUAAAUGGGUAUAUGUACUAUAGUACGAAUACAUAGCUGCACUGUCUUGAUUUUUUUCCGAUGAAUUCGCACAUUCAAGUGGCCAGAUCGUAAUUAAGAUCCGUUCAUUUUUACGAAAAUAUGCGAGUGGAAAGCAUUUACUUAGAUUCUGGAACUCGUUUAAAAUCAUCCGUUGGAUCUGUGGAGAUUUUUAUACAAAGAGUUUUUGUAUUUUCUUUUCGAUGAAUAUCCUUCGAAAAAGUAAUUGCGAGAUUUAAGAGCACGAAGUGGAUGUUAAUGCAGAGUUUUUGUAAGAAUGACACAGGUGUCAAAGCCAAUGAAUUAACAAUAAAUGAAAACAGUUUAAUUUAAGGAUAUUGAUGUCAUCGAUAAUCAUAAAUCUACAUAUCUGAGAUUUUAAGUUUAACGAUAGUUUAAAUCGCUAUGGUAUCCAUAACAUAGCCAUUUAAAUGUUAGAAACAUUAUUCUAAAAAAUUCGAAUAUUAUGGUCUCAUGAUGAGACGGCUAAGUGCAAUAUUUUGUUGUCGUCACUAAAGAAUGUAAGUAUGUGGCCGAUGACUCGAUGUCAUGGCGCCUUAUGCCGCUUGAAAGGGAGUUAAUAUUUGAAACAAAGCAUCUGGUCACAGAGUGAAGGUACCAACCUUCUGAUAAGAGGAUUGAGUUUGAUUGCUCAGUAUUUACUCGGCGAUUAUUUUCUAACACGUAUUAGCUAUAUAUAAUUUUUUUCAGAAUAAAGAUAAAUAAGAAUAAGAAUAAAGAUAAAUGUUUGAAGAAACGUUUUGCAUUUCGUAAUUGAACAUUCUUUUCUGUGUCUGUACCGAAAUUCAAUUGAAUAAGAUUCCACAAAUAGGAAAUUCAUAUUCGAAGAAUGAAAAAGCCGAAGAUUCGUGCAAGCGCGGGCUUUUUUCAUAAGCGAUCCUGAAUGAAAGCUCACCGAUGAUAUUCUUGAAUGUUCUAACAGUUCCUCGGAGCAAAGUCGCUUGAUACAGCACUGCCAUUGGCGGAUGUAUGGUGAACCGUUAAAAAGUUAGAGGUUUUGCCGUUUCAAAGCGACAGUGUAUUCGGGAAAUAGCAUCGGGAAAGAUCGGAAAGGAUCGGAAAGGAUCGGAAAGGAUCGGAAAGGAUCGGUAAGGAUAGUUCGAGGACGUCCGAGAUCUUAUUUUCGCGACAUGCUGCAACCAGCUGGUACUUUUUGAUGAGUAGAUAGCUAGAAAAUCGUCCCCUGCAGCGACAGAAGUUCCUCGUAGCUGACUCGAUAAAAACUAGUUGAUAUAAGUACGGAAACUAAACUACAUGUUUAUCUGUGACGAUAUUAUUACAACUAAAUUUCUCUUUUUCGCAUUUAUUGGAUGCUAAAUAAACUUGCCUACGUUGUCUUAUCGUCUUUCUCUAUCUAUCUACUCAGUACGAAGAAUUCUUAUCAUCGAAGCCGGUACAAAUGUACUGACGCUUUGGUAAUAAAACAUCGUCGAGAUUGCCAUCCAGUACCAUUUUAAAAUGUACCUAUGUAAAUUUGAUUUAUUAUUACGAAUCGUAACUUUUUAUUUUAGACCGGUAUUUUUUUCUUUUCUCUAUUGGAAGAGGAGUACUUUCACGUCUACUGUAAUUUAUUUAGUCGUGGUCAAAAGAAAAAAAGAAGAAAAGAAGACAUGUUUCGCUCUCAAAUACAUUUUCUCUCGUGAACCUUUCUUUCCGUGACUUUUCAACGCGUAAAAUCGAAUAAAAUUCUAAUGAAUAUUUAUUAUAAAUAUUUUGAAUUCAUUCUCAAUGUUUAUAUGACUCCUUAAAUCGUAUCCUUUACUUGUGAGGAUAGUGAAGAUCGGGGUAGUUAGCACGACUCAUACACAUGUGCCCGGUGCAGCCGAUACAGCGAUUGCCGUAUUUUACACAAGUUGUUUGAGAAAAUUAACGAAAUAUACUUCAUCUACAUUAAGUACUUCAGUAGACUUUCGAUUAUGUUUUCGAUGAAUUAAUAAGGAAAACAAAAUUAAAUUGUUUUUCCAAGUUUCCAAGCAAUACAAUUUUCAAGCAAUGAAAAAUCGGACUUGAAAAACAAUGUGCAAUUUCUGCUGUCGAAUUGUACUCUAACUUUGUAAGAAAGAUACAUGAACGAAUAUGAACGAUUUCUAUUUUGGUCGAGAAACUACAGUCGGCUUGUAGCGACACUUUUUUAGUUCCACACAUGUUUUCUAUAAUCGCAAGGAUUUUGUUCUCGUGAUUAACAACGAAACUGCUCGUCGACAUUGUUUCUCGGUGAUGGACGCAACUCACCCAUUGUAGGAUGCCGCACGCUGCGUAUUUUAUUUUAGUACUCUCGGCAUCUCAAGCGUCGAAUCUGAGAAUUCCAAUGUGAGCUGACUAACUAGUUGCUCGAUAUGUAUGACUGUAUAACAAGAGUUUACUUUUCAACUGUUUAUCUAUCUAUCUAAAAACAUCCACACAUUCUAAUUUUCAUGAAAUUAUUAUGACAUUGUCGAUAGUUGGCACUAGAAUAGAGCAACGACGUCGAAGCAGACGUCGAUAACAUGGACACUCGUUGGAUCGAGCACAUGUUUGAAAUCCAUGAGCAUAUCGCGGCAAUGUCUGCUACGUAGAAUGUAAUGACGUAGUAAUAAUUAAAAACAUGAGGACAUUGUCAACCGAGAUCCAUUUGGACGCGUAAACAAUCUUCGAAUGUUUUAAUCUCCGGAUUUCUAUCUAAGGUAAGUAUAAAUUUAUAAGUUAAUUUUUCAGCUAAAUAUGAUAAUACGAUUUGAUCAAGGCGAUCGAAUAUUAUUGACAAAAUAACAAUGACAUCUAUAAAAAAAAAGUUUUUUAACCGAUGAUCGCGAUUAGGAUGUAGUUCCAUGAGGAUUGAAGUGUAUCUCUCGUGAUUGCAUCUAAAAAUGUUUGUUGGAGUGUCGAGAAAGGUUCGCAUUUCCGUGUCAUAGUGCGCGCCGAAAGAGCUGGUCGAUAUUUUUUGUCAUCGCGCGCAAAGCAGCUCGGUCGGGAGGAGGAUGAGCUUGAGAAAGCUUCGACGAGUGUCUCAAGAAACAAAGAGAUGUUGCAUCGUUUUCAUAGAUCUUCUAUCGCCUUGUUUUUUCCUCCUUUUCCUUGUUCAUAGGUCGAUGUAGAGGAUAGGUAGAGGUUGGCGACGUUGGCGGUGGCGUCUCUGCUAGAGGUGAAACGUUUGGAGUCCGCCGAAGGGUCGCUAGACAGGACGGUAGACAGGAGUAACGAUUGCCACCCCAGCCGCGCCGAGAUGGUCGCCCCCUACAGCUGCUUCACCCCUACGUGCUACCCAUUCGGUGAGCGCUACUAACCUAGCCGAAAACAUCUCCCACUGGCCUUUAAAAGAACGUGAGAAAUCACCUCAAGAAUUUUGUUGGAUUUCCAGCAUUUAUUUUCUUCGCUGUACCGGUCUGCUGACUGCUGCGCCACCGCCGACGUCGUUGUUUCUGCUGCUGACAGAGUGUUGCGGAUAAACGAAGGAGUGGGAAUAUGUCGUCGUCCACGUUAGACGACGCGCGAUUGACUCGUCUUUAGCGAAAUUAUCGACCGUUUUCUUUUACCGUUUUUUAAUUAAAACAAUCUUUUCUUGAAAGGGAUUAAUGAAAUAAUGUUUUGAUGUAAUGUUGAGAGAUAUAACGAUCAAAUUUCUUUUUAAUGAAAAAAGUCAAAUAUGAAUGAUGACUAAUAAGCUAAGUUAUCUUUACAAAGCAUCGACGAUUGUAGAAAUUUCUAUGAUCAUUAAAGCUUAGUUAAUCGGCAUGAAGCAGUCCCUUAGUUACAUUUAAUAAUGCGUUAUUAGGAAAUUAAGAAACUAGGGAAAAAAUGAAAAAUAUUGUUCUCUAAAACAAGAAUGUCCAAAAUUUUUUUAGACAUUUAAAGAAGGAAACAAUUUUCUUUGUGAUUGAUAUUUAAAUUAAUAUUAAUUGCUUGUAAAUAAGUGGUUAAGCUAAUAAAAUCUAAUGAUAUAAAACCAAA
Vespa mandarinia (Asian giant hornet) is the source of this 5460-nucleotide long non-coding RNA. NCBI's taxonomy places the organism in Eukaryota, Metazoa, Arthropoda, Insecta, Hymenoptera, Vespidae. The record is from RefSeq and is a predicted model, not a curated record.